Molecule: regulatory RNA element, 165 nt
Organism: Roseburia sp. CAG:45
Lineage: Bacteria; Bacillati; Bacillota; Clostridia; Lachnospirales; Lachnospiraceae
Source: Rfam
UUUUGUGACUGGUUAGGGGCGCUUGGAAUUUCAUCUGGCAACCGGCAACGUUGGCACAGGACGUGCCAACGAGGUGCAACUGGAACACGGAUGUGACUUUGCGCCGAUUGCCGGAAUAGAUAUAAUGUAGAGCGAAAUUCUUAGCGCCCCUUACCAGUUGCAUGA